UGAGUUGGCCGGGUGGUCGCGGGUCGCCAAGUGCGAUCUGAGGAAGGUCGGGGCUCCACAGGGCAGGAUGCUGGCUAACGGCCAGGCGAGGCGACUCGACGGAAAGUGCAACAGAGAGUAGACCGCUCCCUAGGGAGCAAGGGUGAAAAGGUGCGGUAAGAGCGCACCAGCAUCGAGGGUAACUUCGAUGGCUAGGUAAACCCCAUCCGGAGCAAGGCCGAAUAGGAGGAUGGGCUGCCCGUUCGCACCGGAUCUCCGGUGCACCUCCUGGUGGGCUGCAUAGAUGGAUGACCACACAAGUCACAGUGUGGCUGGACAGAACCCCGCCUACAGGCCAGCUCAGCAC
RNAcentral lists this RNase P RNA (346 nucleotides) under Acidimicrobiaceae bacterium. RNAcentral describes it as "RNase P RNA component class A". It matches the Rfam family "Bacterial RNase P class A". From Rfam's summary of the family: Ribonuclease P (RNase P) is a ubiquitous endoribonuclease, found in archaea, bacteria and eukarya as well as chloroplasts and mitochondria. Its best characterised activity is the generation of mature 5'-ends of tRNAs by cleaving the 5'-leader elements of precursor-tRNAs. Lineage: Bacteria; Bacillati; Actinomycetota; Acidimicrobiia; Acidimicrobiales; Acidimicrobiaceae. The record is from RNAcentral.